CGUGCCUUUUGUAGAAUGAACCGGCGAGUUACGAUUUGAUGCAAGGUUAAGCAGUAAAUGUGGAGCCGUAGCGAAAGCGAGUCUGAAUAGGGCGUUUAGUAUUUGGUCGUAGACCCGAAACCAGGUGAUCUACCCUUGGUCAGGUUGAAGUUCAGGUAACACUGAAUGGAGGACCGAACCGACUUACGUUGAAAAGUGAGCGGAUGAACUGAGGGUAGCGGAGAAAUUCCAAUCGAACCUGGAGAUAGCUGGUUCUCUCCGAAAU
RNAcentral lists this ribosomal RNA (265 nucleotides) under Staphylococcus aureus. RNAcentral describes it as "partial 23S ribosomal RNA". It matches the Rfam family "Bacterial large subunit ribosomal RNA", at positions 600 to 865 of the family's 2925-position model. Lineage: Bacteria; Bacillati; Bacillota; Bacilli; Caryophanales; Staphylococcaceae. The record is from RNAcentral.